UCCCACGCCCCCUCCCCAUGCACCUCCUCCUCCCACAACCCUCCCAGAAACCGCACCUCCCUCCCACGCCUCCCUCCGCCGUCUCCGCCGCUGACGCCGGAAACCGCCCCAAUCUCCUCCCCCUUUUCAUUCGCACACCCUCCUCACGCCCACAUCCAUCCCGUCACCCGCCCACUCGCCGUCGCACGAGCCUCCCCGUCGUCGAUCCCCUCCCUUCUCACCCUCAUCCUCAGUUCAGCUUGGUAGAUCAGUUUAGCGUUGAGAAGCAAGCUGUUAAAACAUCCACUUAAUGCAGAAGAGGCUGAAGGGGGACUCGUUGUUUAAAAAAUGAAAUGAAAACUGCUAUCCAUGUUGACUCCAUCGAUUCAUUUAUCAGAUCAGGGGGUUUGAAUGAAUAAGGAUAUCUAUGCUGUUCAUGAAGUGCAUAAUGGAUGGUGUGAUCCUCUUUAAUCAUACUGCUUCCUUCAGAGUUCAGAUACAAGGGCCUAACCAUGGUAACUAAUGAUGCACAGCUGCUUUGCUCCAGGGUGAACCCUCACUCUGCUGGUUGGAUUUCAGCCGUGGAUUAGCAACUGAAUUUGAUCCGUCGGUUCUGAAGAAACCCGGUUACUUAUUAGAAGAAGCAGAGACCACAACCUGGCAGUGGCUGGUCACUUCAGUGGUCUCCAAUUGCAUAAUAAGUGUAAUUAACUGGGGGAGUGCUUCUUGAAGUAGAUAGAAAGCUUUGCUACUUUUGAAGAAAACAAGUUGAUAAUGGAGAAAUUGGGUGAGACAUCAUUCAUUCUACACAACUUUGAGAACUGGCUGAGAUGUAAGCCUGGAAAAUAGACAUCCCAUGUGAAUAACACAAAUGAACAUCGAAGUUAUAUGUAGCGCCGGAAAUAUAUAGAAGAUAGCUCAUGCAACUGUACACGUGACAUGGGUUGUUCAAUCCAUAACACUAUGCAUUGUUGAUCGAUUGGUGAUUAUUGUUCCCUAUAUAUUCUCUGGGCAUUGACACGAACCGCAUAACAUUGCAGGGCCAUAUAUCUUGAGAUAUUCAUAAUUGCGUUUGAACCAAUUUUUUUUACAGUUGCAUACGAUUGUGUCUUUCAGAUCUAUAUUUGACUCUACACGCAAUGUCAUGACUUAUCCAUCAUAUCGCUUUAAUGUACUUAGCAUUUUCACCUACAUAAAUGAUUAUAGCAUUGCAAUGCUCAGUUAUGGCUCUAUGUGAAUCAAGAAAAGAUGGUUUAUUAUAACGUGAUUAAUCAGCAGUAAAACGAUACGGGGAAAAUGUCAAGUGAAUAGCUAUAAUGUUCACGGACAAAGCACAAAACAGACCUGGCCUUGCCGGAGGUUAUUAAAGCUCAAAUGUACAAAUCAUAUAAAAUUUUUUUUGCUAACAUGAAAUUUUAAAAAUUAUUAAAGACAAAUAGAAUUGUACCGUAGCGUUUAGCACGGGCAUAUUAUUAGUCUUGUUAAUUCACCAUAAAUGGUGGUCGCUCGAUCUACUGGUGGCAGACCAAACGAGAGUAGAAAUACUCCGAUUCAAUUUUGGAUAUUGUUUGGGCUCAUGGGACAAAAUAAUAUUGCUCAAUGGAGCAAACAAAAUCACUCAAUUCCGACGAAACACGAGGUUUUCCCUUAUUUUUCAGAUGGAACGGAAUCUAAGGGACUAAUAAUGGAAAAGCAUAUUGUGCUGAUGUACGCAUGUUCCACAUGUUUGUCCCCCUUACUUUGUGCCAUUAGUUUAGGAGUUCAUGGAAAUUAAACAGGUGCGACAUCACUAUGUUUCAGGCUCAAAUGUUUGUUUGAUCCACUCUCGCCGUUCCAGAUCCCUCUCCCAUUCAAAGAAACAAUAACAACGGAACUUCUGUACAAACUUAUGUGUAUGUAUGGUGAAAUGGAAAAGCAACGGAGGUCCUCUGGUAGGCAGCGCGGCUAUAUAUAACAUACAAGAGCUAGCCAAGCUAGGCGUGUCAAUUAAGACUACUAAAUUUGUUAGCUUUAAUAAUUUACUGAAAACAACAUGCUUCAGCUGUAUUUACAAUGAAGGAAGGAAAGGGGACAUUGGAAUUAACAGUACGCAACUUAUAUAUGCCUGUGACAAAAAAAUUCCCAUUGCACAUUGUUGGAGAGGCGAUUCUCCGACAACAGGGAAGUGCAGAAGACCCCUCCCUAAAAAUGAAGAUCUGACCAGGGGUUAGUUGCACACGACAAUCAAGAAGACAAUCUGCGGGGCCCAAGCUCCCUGCCAAGCAGAUGAACACAAGAGAUUUAUAAAGGUUCAGGCCACCGGAGGUGUAAUACCAUACUCCUGUUUCUUUGUUGGUAUGGAUCUGGUGAAAUACAAACUUUGUCUUUUCCAAGUUAGAAACAAGCAACCCUUUCUAUGUAGCAUGUCCCUUUUCUGUUAUAGUAUAAGAAGGAGCUCACA
This is a long non-coding RNA of Oryza sativa Japonica Group (Japanese rice), 2419 nucleotides long. RefSeq lists it as uncharacterized. The record is from RefSeq and is a predicted model, not a curated record. NCBI's taxonomy places the organism in Eukaryota, Viridiplantae, Streptophyta, Magnoliopsida, Poales, Poaceae.